This is a long non-coding RNA of Brassica napus (rape), 1995 nucleotides long. RefSeq lists it as uncharacterized. NCBI's taxonomy places the organism in Eukaryota, Viridiplantae, Streptophyta, Magnoliopsida, Brassicales, Brassicaceae. The record is from RefSeq and is a predicted model, not a curated record. The transcript is spliced from 6 exons.
UCGACUCAUGCAUUCAUCCGCCGUUUACAACCUUUUCAGAUUCCCCUACUGUAACGAUUCUAAUUUAAUUGACCCAAACUUUCCCUAGCCAUAUAUUACUUCAUCUUCAUCUUCUGCUGUUUAGAGUAUGCUCAAACCUCUUACUUCUCUCCAUUGCUCACUAUUUCUCCGAAUCCUUGAAGCACCGCAAUGAUGGCCCUAAAACGCUCCAAAUCGUCGAUCUCUGACGGUUUACUUCUACAAAGUCGCCGCCGGUCAAGUUGAUUCAGUUUUGAGAAGCCCAUAAUCCCGCUAAAGUAGGGAUGCUAAUUGGCCUUCAGCUUCCAUCUCAUUAGAGCAGAUCUUAAUCGGUUUCCGCUGUCGACUGAUUUCUUAGAAAGUUUUAGCGCUCUCCGCCGUAAAAUCUACAAUCACCGAAGGUUUUUUUUUUCAUUACCCAAAUCUCUAAACUUUCAGUUUAUCUUAAUAUUUGAUGAACACUAUGAAUACUGAAUAGAGAAUGACAAUUUAUCUUAAGAGUGUUUUAGAUCGACUUUUCUUAAAGUGUUGUGUUUUUGACCUUGCUAAUGUUAUUGCUACUAACCUUAACAGGAAAAGUGAAGUACUUUCAGUCUUGGGUUUAGUGGACUCGAUAAUAAGAUAAACAUCAUUGCGUCAGUUUACAUUCUGAGAGAUCCAGGAUGUAAGAGUGUUUGAACCAUGUAAGGAUGCUCAUCAACGUGUUGGACACACUCUUUUGUUGAACCAUGAGUGCGUCCUUUUCUUAUUCCCUUCCUUGAACCACAGCAUGACUGCUGCAAUUUAUGUGAGGAUGUUUGUCAUGGAUAUAGAAAGAAACGUUGGGGGUGCUACGAAUUUAGAUUUAAUUGACCAAGUGAGGUGCUGAUAAAAAAAGGUUUAAUUUAGUAAACCAAUCAUUUUUUAAAAUAUAUAGAUGGUUCAUAUUUGUAAUUCAGUACUGCUUAAUAUCUUCUGUAAUUCCGAUUUAUUUAAACAUCCCCUAGCUGGUCACUAAGCUAACGGUUGCCAUCCUCACUUGAUUGCUCCUGAGCAAGGUAUUGAGUCUUCUAUUGUAUUCCUGGGAGGCCCUUCUGAGGUUACUGUGUCAAUGAAGAGCCCAAAGUCUAUAAGCAAUAUGUAUGGGAAGGAGAAGCUGAUUCAAGCAGUAUCUUCCAUUUAAGAAGAUACUGAUCCUCAGCUAAUCAUUCUUAGAGGGACCUGUCUUACUUUGCAUCUAAAGGAUCAUAAUGCUUUGCCGGAUGACAAAGGAUUUGCAGACCCAGACUGAAUUCAGAAGCUCUUGAAAACUAUGCUCAGUUUGUUUCGUUCCCUAUAUACACAUGGAAGGGAAAAUGGAUAACAAAAGAGGGUUCUCUUAUACAGGUUGAUGAUGCAUGAUUCAGCUGAGUAAAACGUGAUGAGCAGGAUGACAAAACUGAGGUAGUUUUGAUACCAAAGCAUAUCACUAUUGUCAUGGAAUAUGCUGUUGGAGGUGGACUAUUUGACCGUAUAUGCAGCGCUGGAAGAUUCGAAGAGGAUGAAGUGAGCUAGGCAUUUAGAGAUGAGACUUUAUAUAUGGUCUAGGUCUAUCAAUAAUUUCAGAGCUGAGUUAUAUGUUGGCCAUGUUCGUCAGGCAAACGCUGCGGCAGCAAUGGCGAUCAAAAUACAACGGCAAAAUGAAGAAAUUUGGCCUAGGUAAAGUCGCAGCCAUCACUUAUUGUUCAGAUGAACACAAAGUGUGAAUCGUUACAUAAAACAGCGGCACUCUCCGGAAUGAAUUUGUGUCGUCAGCGACCAUUUCUCUCUCAUCACUGUGAUCUUUUUUUCAUUAAUUGUUCUGUUGUUUAUGUGCUUUUCUAACCGGCAGUCGCUGCCGCGACCUUUGUCCGAUGAACAGGGCCGUUGUCUAAUGUAGUGUCAUCGGAAAGAAAUGGGAAUAUACUUCUUUUUUUUAAAACAUGAAAAGGGAAUAUACAUAGCACAUUAAGAAGGAGA